This is a long non-coding RNA of Dioscorea cayenensis subsp. rotundata (Guinea yam), 301 nucleotides long. RefSeq lists it as uncharacterized. The record is from RefSeq and is a predicted model, not a curated record. NCBI's taxonomy places the organism in Eukaryota, Viridiplantae, Streptophyta, Magnoliopsida, Dioscoreales, Dioscoreaceae. The transcript is spliced from 2 exons.
AACACUGGUUGGUUGCUUACAUAUCUUUGAAAAGUCUUCAUUAUUUUUGAGAACCUUUGAGGCUCUUCUUUUCCCAAGCAUUUCAAUAAACACUGAAACAAAAACUCACAGCUUGUGAUCAACUUCUUCAUCACCUUCUCCAACAGGACCUUUUGUGGAAGGUUAAGAUUUGGUGUUCGGAUGGGAUUCGGGUUUUGACUUGUAGUAGGUAAGUAAUCCACUUAAACUUUGUCAUUGUUUGAAGUUUCGUAAUUUCUUGUAAACUUUGCAUAGUUUUCAAUUAUUAUCAGGUUAUUUGCUA